UGACAAGCUUAUGGUUACAUUUUAAAACAAUGUAUUAAAAGGGAAUAUGGUUAAAACCCAUAACAGCCCCCGCUACUGUAAAAAGGACGAAAGCUUAGAAUUUAGUCACUGAGGUGUCUCGGGAAGACUUAAGCGAGUAGGAUGAUUUUGAGUCAGGAGACCUGCCCUAUGCUUUAA
This 177-nucleotide non-coding RNA is filed under the name uncultured Clostridium sp. The record is from RNAcentral. Lineage: Bacteria; Bacillati; Bacillota; Clostridia; Eubacteriales; Clostridiaceae.